UUCGGGGCGCUCGCCCGGCCGAACCGGAGUUAGUGGGGUGAGGGCCGGACGCUAUCCCGAGGACCGACCUGGGGUGGAGGCGUUUCCCGGAGAACGCCUAGAAGCGUCCCAGCCACGAAGGGGCUGCUCGGGCUUCCCAGCAGGUUCUAGCGCUGGCGUGUUUUGGAUUCGAAUCCAAUUCCGUCUAAACAGAAAUCUCGGAUCACCUUGGAGCCGUUCCCUCCUCUUUCGACGUUUUUUCCAGCCCACCGCUUGGAAACUUGGAGUGCAGGAAAAUACCAAUGGGUCUUUCUGUGAAGGCAUUAAGAAUCUCAAAGGAGAUUUCAGCUACUUACUCAGUCAUCAGGUAAAGCUGAAGGAUUUCUAUAACCAAACCUUUGGACUUUGCCAACAUUCACACACAAUAGAAGCCUUCGGAGGUUAUCUGGGGACUGAGCUGAGCUCUCCUCAUCACAGAGAUAACUAGCUUUAAAUUUUGCCUAAUCUAUGUGAUAUGCUGUAUUGGUAACUAUCGUUACGAAAUAGUCAAGACAAGGAUUGACAAACUGAAAUUCAAACCGGACAAGAUGGUUGGUGAGUGAUCUGCCCAGGUUCAUAUUUUUCCUGGAGGAUCCAUUCUCUGAAGUAGAAGGCAAGACAGAAGAGAAGGUCCUGGAGGCAUCUGCAGCUUUCAGUGGAACAGGAAAAGCAACGUUGAAUUGGCAACAGUUCUAGAUCGGUUCUCUCCUCUCCUCCCUUGAAAUGCAUCUGAAUCUUGAUCCAACAGAGCAUCUCCUUAUGAUGACAUUUUACAGCCUAUUGGCAUUCAAAGGAAAUACGAAGACAAUCGGAUUGAGGUCCUGGCACUAACCAUGCAGUCACCAUGAUGUUUAUUCCCGGCUUGGACUGAACCAGGAUGAAGACUUUUCCUUCCAGCAAAGCCAAGGUAUUAAUGCCUACUACAUUUCUGAUGGCAAGCAAAGAAUGAAAUAGGCUGAUUCCUCAUCUACGUUCAGGCCGACCUGCUUAAUAGUUGGAAAGGAGACCAUCACGAAAUAUUAGAACUAUAGGAUUGCCUGGGAAGUUGAAGAAUAUCCAUCAGGAAGAUGAUGGGAACCCACUAAUGCACUGCUGCCAACAUGGAAAUAGUGUGGGAUGAAGCUUUAGGUUGCAACCACAAAUGACCAGCUAAUAGACUGAUCUCUUGACCCCGCAUGGAAAAUCACCUGCUCAGUUGUCUGCAACUCCCAGCCCUCACAGAUGACCAAGAAAAAAAUACCCUGGGCAAUAGUAUAGAAUAUCACCUAGAAUUUUCAAAAGACAAGAAUAGAAGCACAUUUUAAAAACCAAGUGACAGUUAAGAUCACCUUUCAGAGUAACCAAAACUUUUUUUGUCCCAUGGCCUGUUCUGAAUCCAUCUUAAAAGUGGUUUAUCACUGAGUUAGGAUUAGAAUUGUAUUUUUAAAGUGUAAAUCUCUGCAGUGAGUUCAUACCUUACACUUCUAUCUAAAUUCCUAACAAUGAGCUCUUCCACAUUCAGGAAGAGGUAGCAUCAUUCUUUGUGUAUACGUUCUCUCUUUUUGUGUUCUCCAACACUAUUACAGUACAACAUGUUUCGUUGCACAGUCCCAAAGUAACAAAAUUAUAGUCUGUUGUUUCUUUAACAGCAGGGACUAACAGAAUUUAAGCCUUCUUCAGCUACCAACUAAUAAACACCUCGAAGGCCAAGGAGACAUCACCCUUGAGAGUAUACCUUCUAUUGUGAUUCAGUUUAGACAGCUAGGAUCCCUGGGAAAAUUGCAUGCAUUCUUGCUGGGUGGAGAUAUUUUGUGUGAAUCCAUGCAGCCCAUCAUCUGAAAUACAAACAUGUUGUACUACAUUCCAAGCAACGUACCAAUAUUAUUUGCAGCCAAUUUAAGAAAGAUGCUUAACCAAGGAUAUAAUAAAGUCAGUGGUAAAGCAAAUAACACUGUACAUUGAAUUGAAGUAACUUCUCCAGGGUAGCUUGACCAGUUUAGCUAGUAUUCAAGUAGCUAAGCUGGUGUUGAGUAAUGCACUAGUACCAGUGUGGCAAAUUAUUACAUUUUGUAGAAAUAACUGACAUAAAAAAGCAAUAACAAUUUUGCAUUACUAUUAUGUAUAAUAGUUUUAGUGUUGGGAUUUUGAUAGGGGAAGAUUCUUCUUUACAAAAUCAGGAUUUUUGGGAGAGAUGAAUAUUGUGGGGAAAACUUUUGAUAUUUGAGAAAUGUCCUUUCAGUGCCAGAUACCCUUCCCCCUCCUAAAUCUAAAAACAUUUAAAUGUGGGUCUGAAGUUUGAAGGCAAUCUUGAAAACAUCUAGAGAACCUAUGAACAUUGGGUACUUUGGCCAUCUUUUGAGGAAACUGCCCCCAGCCACGAUGAGGGAGAAUAAUCCAAAAAAUGCAGGGGAAUUUCUGGAAGCUUGGCACUCUAAUUAGCCCUCAAUAGACACGGACAUAAACAAAAUAUACUAUGUAAAAGAGACAGUCAACAAGCCAAAUGGGAACAAAAACAUCAAAACAUCCACCCACCAGCAAUCAAUACCCAGAUGAAUAUACAUUAACUCCAAGAUUAACAUCAGACCAACAUUCAAGUAAACAAUACCCCAAGCAAGGAACUGCCAAACUAGCCAACAAUAAACAGCCUAGCCCAGGGGUAGGCAACUUUGGUUCUUUUAUGACUCGUGAACUUCAACUCAGGAAUUCUGGGAGUUGAAGUCCACGAGUCAUAAAAGAGCCAAGGUUGCCUACCCCUGGCCUAGCCAAAGAAACUCUAAGACCCCCUACCCACACGGACAGGGCAAACCACCAGAAUAGAAACUGAGAGCAAACCUCAUUACUUAAUAGCACUGAUGAUGUUACCUAGUUUGAGUAACGAAACGUCUGCAAGAAAACAACCAAGCUCGGAGACCACCAAGGUCCCCUCAUUUCAACCCCGAGCUACAAAUAUUCUAUUAUCAUCAUCAUCAUCAUCAUCGUUUUAGCCAUUGUCUACCCAUUGCAGGAUGAAGGCCUCUUUCACAUGUUUCCAACCAAUAUGGUCCUGCGCUUCCUUUUGUCAUUUGGGGCCACAAUACUUGCUAAUGUCAUUAUCUUUUAUUGAAGCAGAAUAGUAAGACUUAUGGGGGGAAUAGGAAAACUGAAAAUGCACAUGUAAAUAAUGCUGUCUGUUUCUUGGAAAUGAAUAAAGCUAUUUGCCAAAAAUAAAUAAUUUCCAGUGUUCACAUGGAAUUCAUCUGAAAAGCAAUAAACUCUGAAAAGCAAUAUUGGUGUGAUA
Crotalus tigris (Tiger rattlesnake) is the source of this 3274-nucleotide long non-coding RNA. RefSeq lists it as uncharacterized. The record is from RefSeq and is a predicted model, not a curated record. The transcript is spliced from 6 exons. NCBI's taxonomy places the organism in Eukaryota, Metazoa, Chordata, Lepidosauria, Squamata, Viperidae.